GUCAAAGCGUUCAUUAAAGUCGAGUUGGCUUAGGGAUACGUUCGUUGGGUAGGGGAGCGUUCUGUAAGCCUGUGAAGGUGUGUCGUGAGGCAUGCUGGAGGUAUCAGAAGUGCGAAUGCUGACAUAAGUAACGAUAAAGCGGGUGAAAAGCCCGCUCGCCGGAAGACCAAGGGUUCCUGUCCAACGUUAAUCGGGGCAGGGUGAGUCGACCCCUAAGGCGAGGCCGAAAGGCGUAGUCGAUGGGAAACGGGUUAAUAUUCCCGUACUUGGUGUUACUGCGAAGGGGGGACGGAGAAGGCUAUGUUGGCCGGGCGACGGUUGUCCCGGUUUAAGCGUGUAGGUGUGUGUUCCAGGUAAAUCCGGUUCACUUUAACACUGAGGCGUGACGACGAGGCACUACGGUGCUGAAGCAACAAAUGCCCUGCUUCCAGGAAAAGCCUCUAAGCAUCAGGUAACAUCAAAUCGUACCCCAAACCGACACAGGUGGUCAGGUAGAGAAUACCAAGGCGCUUGAGAGAACUCGGGUGAAGGAACUAGGCAAAAUGGUGCCGUAACUUCGGGAGAAGGCACGCUGACACGUAGGUGAAGUGAUUUACUCAUGGAGCUGAAGUCAGUCGAAGAUACCAGCUGGCUGCAACUGUUUAUUAAAAACACAGCACUGUGCAAACACGAAAGUGGACGUAUACGGUGUGACGCCUGCCCGGUGCCGGAAGGUUAAUUGAUGGGGUCAGCGUAAGCGAAGCUCCUGAUCGAAGCCCCGGUAAACGGCGGCCGUAACUAUAACGGUCCUAAGGUAGCGAAAUUCCUUGUCGGGUAAGUUCCGACCUGCACGAAUGGCGUAAUGAUGGCCAGGCUGUCUCCACCCGAGACUCAGUGAAAUUGAACUCGCUGUGAAGAUGCAGUGUACCCGCGGCAAGACGGAAAGACCCCGUGAACCUUUACUAUAGCUUGACACUGAACAUUGAGCCUUGAUGUGUAGGAUAGGUGGGAGGCUUUGAAGUGUGGACGCCAGUCUGCAUGGAGCCGACCUUGAAAUACCACCCUUUAAUGUUUGAUGUUCUAACGUGGACCCGUAAUCCGGGUUGCGGACAGUGUCUGGUGGGUAGUUUGACUGGGGCGGUCUCCUCCUAAAGAGUAACGGAGGAGCACGAAGGUUGGCUAAUCCUGGUCGGACAUCAGGAGGUUAGUGCAAUGGCAUAAGCCAGCUUGACUGCGAGCGUGACGGCGCGAGCAGGUGCGAAAGCAGGUCAUAGUGAUCCGGUGGUUCUGAAUGGAAGGGCCAUCGCUCAACGGAUAAAAGGUACUCCGGGGAUAACAGGCUGAUACCGCCCAAGAGUUCAUAUCGACGGCGGUGUUUGGCACCUCGAUGUCGGCUCAUCACAUCCUGGGGCUGAAGUAGGUCCCAAGGGUAUGGCUGUUCGCCAUUUAAAGUGGUACGCGAGCUGGGUUUAGAACGUCGUGAGACAGUUCGGUCCCUAUCUGCCGUGGGCGCUGGAGAACUGAGGGGGGCUGCUCCUAGUACGAGAGGACCGGAGUGGACGCAUCACUGGUGUUCGGGUUGUCAUGCCAAUGGCACUGCCCGGUAGCUAAAUGCGGAAGAGAUAAGUGCUGAAAGCAUCUAAGCACGAAACUUGCCCCGAGAUGAGUUCUCCCUGAGACUUAGAGUCUCCUGAAGGAACGUUGAAGACGACGACGUUGAUAGGCCGGGUGUGUAAGCGCAGCGAUGCGUUGAGCUAACCGGUACUAAUGAACCGUGAGGCUUAACCUUACA
Molecule: ribosomal RNA, 1771 nt
Filed under: Salmonella enterica subsp. enterica
Lineage: Bacteria; Pseudomonadati; Pseudomonadota; Gammaproteobacteria; Enterobacterales; Enterobacteriaceae
Description: partial 23S ribosomal RNA
Rfam family: Bacterial large subunit ribosomal RNA
Source: RNAcentral